This 253-nucleotide ribosomal RNA is filed under the name uncultured bacterium. Its description in RNAcentral is "partial 16S ribosomal RNA". It matches the Rfam family "Bacterial small subunit ribosomal RNA", at positions 524 to 776 of the family's 1533-position model. The record is from RNAcentral.
UACGUAGGUGGCGAGCGUUAUCCGGAAUUAUUGGGCGUAAAGAGCGCGCAGGCGGUUGAUUAAGUCUGAUGUGAAAGCCCACGGCUUAACCGUGGAGGGUCAUUGGAAACUGGUCGACUUGAGUGCAGAAGAGGGAAGUGGAAUUCCAUGUGUAGCGGUGAAAUGCGUAGAGAUGUGGAGGAACACCGAUGGCGAAGGCAGCCUCCUGGGCCAGCACUGACGCUCAUGCACGAAAGCGUGGGGAGCAAACAGG